RNAcentral lists this transfer RNA (69 nucleotides) under Cantao ocellatus. RNAcentral describes it as "tRNA-Gln". Lineage: Eukaryota; Metazoa; Arthropoda; Insecta; Hemiptera; Scutelleridae. The record is from RNAcentral.
UAUAUAAUAGUGUAUGAUGCACGUUAAGUUUUGAUCUUAAAAGAUAUAGUUUAAUUCUAUAUUAUAUAA